This 207-nucleotide ribosomal RNA is filed under the name uncultured bacterium. Its description in RNAcentral is "partial 16S ribosomal RNA". It matches the Rfam family "Bacterial small subunit ribosomal RNA", at positions 568 to 774 of the family's 1533-position model. The record is from RNAcentral.
CGUGUAGGCGGCCAAACAGGUCCGUUGUGAAAACUGGAGGCUUAACCUCCAGACGUCGACGGAAACCGUGUGGCUAGAGUCCGGAAGAGGAGAGUGGAAUUCCUGGUGUAGCGGUGAAAUGCGCAGAUAUCAGGAAGAACACCAAUGGCGAAGGCAGCUCUCUAGGACGGUACUGACGCUGAGACGCGAAAGCGUGGGGAGCGAACA